AACGCACAUUGCGCCCCUUGGUAUUCCGAGGGGCAUGCCUGUUCGAGCGUCAUUAUGACCACUCAAGCCUGGCUUGGUAUUGGGGUUCGCGGUUCCGCGGCUCUUAAAAUCAGUGGCGGCGCCAUCUGGCUCUAAGCGUAGUAAUCUCCCUCGCUACAGAGUCCCGGUGGAUGCUUGCCAGCAACCCCUUAUUUUCUUAGGUUGACCUCGGAUCAGGUAGGGAUACCCGCUGAACUUAA
Molecule: unclassified non-coding RNA, 239 nt
Filed under: uncultured fungus
Lineage: Eukaryota; Fungi
Description: sequence contains ITS2
Rfam family: 5.8S ribosomal RNA (bases 1-52)
Source: RNAcentral